CCUAUGCAUUCCAACUUCACAACUUCAUGCAAAAACUCUACACACUACAGAAUUUCCUAGAAAACAUUAAAAAUAAUUAGCAGAUACUUCAGAUUGUGAUUUUCCCUCCUUUUUUUUGGAUCAACAGCAAACACAACGGAUAUAUGAAAAGUUGACGUAUCUGAUGUAUUUGAGUCCAUUUCUACACCUAAAUAAAAUUUGGAAAACGAUUUAGAGGGAGAGGGUACAAGGCUGAAAGCUGGGGCAUGUACCCUUAUUUAAUUAAUAAAAUACAAGCAAAAAAAAGAAAAAAGAAAAACGGUACCUUUCUAAACUUAAAUUACUAUGUAACUCUGCAGAUACAAAACAAGACACAUGGCUGUCUAACUGAUGUUAUAAUCUACAAUGGGAGGUCCGUUAUCCUAUGAAACUAACACGGACUUUGCCUUUUCAAUCAGAUUAUCUGUUAGUAUGAUCACUAUUUUAGGGAUAUAACUGGCUGAUAGUGAUGUCGUGAAUUUUUUGCGAAAGGUUCGCAAACGGUUCGCCACGGUUCGUGGCGAACUGUUUGCAGCGGACUCCAGUCAGCAGACACA
Non-coding RNA from Pelobates cultripes (western spadefoot toad), 575 nucleotides. The record is from the annotation of a GenBank genome assembly. Lineage: Eukaryota; Metazoa; Chordata; Amphibia; Anura; Pelobatidae.